Molecule: ribosomal RNA, 750 nt
Filed under: uncultured bacterium
Lineage: Bacteria
Description: bacterial SSU rRNA
Rfam family: Bacterial small subunit ribosomal RNA
Source: RNAcentral
AAACAUGGCGGCGUGCUUACACAUGCAGUCGAACGAAGCACUUGCAGCAGACUGGAGAGCUUGCUCAAAGGGAAGCAGCAUUUUGACUGAGUGGCGGACGGGUGAGUAACGCGUGGAUAACCUGCCUCAUACAGGGGGAUAACAGUUGGAAACGGCUGUUAAUACCGCAUAAGCGCACGAAACCGCAUGGUUUUGUGUGAAAAACUCCGGUGGUAUGAGAUGGGUCCGCGUCUGAUUAGCUAGUUGGCAGGGUAACGGCCUACCAAGGCGACGAUCAGUAGCCGGCCUGAGAGGGUGUACGGCCACAUUGGGACUGAGACACGGCCCAAACUCCUACGGGAGGCAGCAGUGGGGAAUAUUGCACAAUGGGGGAAACCCUGAUGCAGCGACGCCGCGUGGGUGAAGAAGUAUUUCGGUAUGUAAAGCCCUAUCAGCAGGGAAGAAAAUGACGGUACCUGACUAAGAAGCCCCGGCUAACUACGUGCCAGCAGCCGCGGUAAUACGUAGGGGGCAAGCGUUAUCCGGAUUUACUGGGUGUAAAGGGAGCGUAGGUGGCGUGCCAAGUCAGGAGUGAAAACCCAGGGCCCAACCCUGGGACUGCUCUUGAAACUGGCAGGCUUGAGUGCUGGAGAGGUAAGCGGAAUUCCUAGUGUAGCGGUGAAACGCGUAAAUAUUACGAGGAACACCAGUGGCGGAAGCGGUUUACUGAACAGUGACUGACACUGAGGCUCGAAAGCGUGUUGAGCNACA